UUAUCGUAACCGCUGAAUUCCAGUUUGGAAGCGGGGGAACCAUUUUUGUGGCGUUGCCACUUGGGGUGAAUCCUUUUUUGAAGGUAAGGUGACUCUUUGCACCUGAAUCCGACAGCUAACCUCGCAAGCGUUUAAAGAGAACCCAA
Molecule: small RNA, 146 nt
Filed under: Bacillus glycinifermentans
Lineage: Bacteria; Bacillati; Bacillota; Bacilli; Caryophanales; Bacillaceae
Description: c-di-AMP sequence
Rfam family: c-di-AMP riboswitch aptamer (ydaO/yuaA leader)
About the family: This family represents a conserved RNA structure found upstream of the ydaO and yuaA genes in Bacillus subtilis and related genes in other bacteria. The ydaO/yuaA element is thought to act as a genetic "off" switch for the ydaO and yuaA genes in its native state.
Source: RNAcentral